Molecule: ribosomal RNA, 603 nt
Filed under: uncultured bacterium
Lineage: Bacteria
Description: bacterial SSU rRNA
Rfam family: Bacterial small subunit ribosomal RNA
Source: RNAcentral
AGCUGGUUNGAGAGGAUGAUCAGCCACACGGGGACUGAGACACGGCCCCGACUCCUACGGGAGGCAGCAGCAAGGAAUUUUCCGCAAUGGGCGCAAGCCUGACGGAGCAACGCCGCGUGUGGGAUGACGCUUUUCGGAGUGUAAACCACUGUUCGUGGGGACGAAGCACUGACGGUACCCACGGAGGAAGGCCCGGCUAACUACGUGCCAGCAGCCGCGGUAAUACGUAGGGGUCGAGCGUUGUCCGGAGUUACUGGGCGUAAAGCGCGUGCAGGUGGCUCAUUACGCCCGGCGUGAAAGCCCCCGGCUCAACCGGGGAGGGUCGUCGGGGACGGGUGAGCUUGAGGGUAGCAGGGGCUGGUAGAAUUCCCGGUGUAGUGGUGAAAUGCGUAGAGAUCGGGAGGAAUACCCGUGGCGAAGGCGGCCAGCUGGGCUACACCUGACACUGAGACGCGAAGGCGUGGGGAGCGAACGGGAUUAGAUACCCCGGUAGUCCACGCAGUAAACGAUGCAGACUAGGCGUGGGGGGACUUGACCCCUUCCGUGCCGAAGCUAACGCAUGAAGUCUGCCGCCUGGGGAGUACGGCCGCAAGGCUAAAACUC